UCUUGGUCAUUUAGAGGAAGUAAAAGUCGUAACAAGGUUUCCGUAGGUGAACCUGCGGAAGGAUCAUUACAGAGUUCAUGCCCUUCGGGGUAGACCUCCCACCCUUGAAUAUAUACCUUUGUUGCUUUGGCGGGCCGCUUCGGCUACUGGCUUCGGCUGGUGAGUGCCCGCCAGAGGACCCAAAAUUCUGAAUUAUAGUGUCGUCUGAGUACUAUAUAAUAGUUAAAACUUUCAACAACGGAUCUCUUGGUUCUGGCAUCGAUGAAGAACGCAGCGAAAUGCGAUAAGUAAUGUGAAUUGCAGAAUUCAGUGAAUCAUCGAAUCUUUGAACGCACAUUGCGCCCCUUGGUAUUCCGGGGGGCAUGCCUGUUCGAGCGUCAUUAUAACCCCUCAAGCUCAGCUUGGUGUUGGGGCCUGCCAUCUGGCAGCCCUUAAAAUCAGUGGCGGUGCCAUCUGGCUCUAAGCGUAGUAAUUUUUCCUCGCUACAGAGUUCUGAUGGAUGCUUGCCAUCAACCCCCAAUUUUUUAUGGUUGACCUCGGAUCAGGUAGGGAUACCCGCUGAACUUAAGCAUAUCAAUANNNCGGAGGAA
RNAcentral lists this ribosomal RNA (590 nucleotides) under uncultured fungus. RNAcentral describes it as "eukaryotic LSU rRNA". The stretch from base 227 to 380 matches the Rfam family "5.8S ribosomal RNA". The record is from RNAcentral. Lineage: Eukaryota; Fungi.